GGGAACGUAUUCACCGCGACAUGCUGAUCCGCGAUUACUAGCGAUUCCAACUUCAUGCAGUCGAGUUGCAGACUACAAUCCGGACUACGAUACACUUUCUGCGAUUAGCUCCCCCUCGCGGGUUGGCAGCGCUCUGUAUGUACCAUUGUAUGACGUGUGAAGCCCUACCCAUAAGGGCCAUGAGGACUUGACGUCAUCCCCACCUUCCUCCGGUUUGUCACCGGCAGUCUCAUUAGAGUGCCCUUUCGUAGCAACUAAUGACAAGGGUUGCGCUCGUUGCGGGACUUAACCCAACAUCUCACGACACGAGCUGACGACAGCCAUGCAGCACCUGUGUACUGGUUCUCUUUCGAGCACUCCCCAAUCUCUCAGGGAUUCCAGCCAUGUCAAGGGUAGGUAAGGUUUUUCGCGUUGCAUCGAAUUAAUCCACAUCAUCCACCGCUUGUGCGGGUCCCCGUCAAU
Molecule: ribosomal RNA, 462 nt
Filed under: uncultured beta proteobacterium
Lineage: Bacteria; Pseudomonadati; Pseudomonadota; Betaproteobacteria
Description: partial 16S ribosomal RNA
Source: RNAcentral